RNAcentral lists this ribosomal RNA (467 nucleotides) under uncultured bacterium. RNAcentral's name for it is "partial 16S ribosomal RNA". It matches the Rfam family "Bacterial small subunit ribosomal RNA", at positions 28 to 507 of the family's 1533-position model. The record is from RNAcentral.
GACGAACGCUGGCGGCGUGCUUAACACAUGCAAGUCGAACGGAAAGGCCCUGCUUUUGUGGGGUGCUCGAGUGGCGAACGGGUGAGUAACACGUGAGUAACCUGCCCUUGACUUUGGGAUAACUUCAGGAAACUGGGGCUAAUACCGGAUAGGAGCUCCUGCUGCAUGGUGGGGGUGGAAAGUUUCGGCGGUUGGGGAUGGACUCGCGGCUUAUCAGCUUGUUGGUGGGGUAGUGGCUUACCAAGGCUUUGACGGGUUGCCGGCCUGAGAGGGUGACCGGCCACAUUGGGACUGAGAUACGGCCCAGACUCCUACGGGAGGCAGCAGUGGGGAAUAUUGCACAAUGGGCGGAAGCCUGAUGCAGCAACGCCGCGUGCGGGAUGACGGCCUUCGGGUUGUAAACCGCUUUCGCCUGUGACGAAGCGUGAGUGACGGUAAUGGGUAAAGAAGCACCGGCUAACUACGUG